Molecule: ribosomal RNA, 402 nt
Filed under: uncultured bacterium
Lineage: Bacteria
Description: bacterial SSU rRNA
Rfam family: Bacterial small subunit ribosomal RNA
Source: RNAcentral
UGGGGAAUCUUGCACAAUGGGGACAACCCUGAUGCAGCGACGCCGCGUGAGCGAUGAAGCCCUUCGGGGCGUAAAGCUCUUUCGACCGGAACGAUAAUGACGGUACCGGGAGAAGAAGCUGCGGCUAACUACGUGCCAGCAGCCGCGGUAAUACGUAGGCAGCAAGCGUUGUUCGGAGUUACUGGGCGUAAAGAGUGCGUAGGCGGUUUUCUAAGUUCGGUGUGAAAUCUCCCGGCUUAACUGGGAGGGUGCGCCGAAGACUGGGAAGCUGGAGUGUGGGAAAGGCAGGCGGAAUUCCUGGUGUAGCGGUGAAAUGCGUAGAUAUCAGGAGGAACACCGGCGGUGUAGACGGCUUGCUAGACCAUAACUGACGCUGAGGCACGAAAGCGUGGGUAGCAAACA